This 466-nucleotide long non-coding RNA is filed under the name Pan troglodytes (chimpanzee). RNAcentral describes it as "lincRNA". Lineage: Eukaryota; Metazoa; Chordata; Mammalia; Primates; Hominidae. The record is from RNAcentral.
GGUCUUACUGUUUUCCAUCAAGGUGUCACCAAUCUUCCAGCCUCCCAGGCAGAAGUCUUUGAGAGCUUCAAUCAGCACUACUACUUGAGGACCUAUGCAGUGUUUGUCCGUGAGCAUGGAAUGACUCAUACUGGCAUCAGAGUUAGGGACUCACUUUAAAGGAAAGGGGAUGCAGUAGUGGGCACAUGACUAAGAAAUCCACCGAUCCUCUCAUAUACUGCACCACCAGAAGCUGCUGGAUUAGCAGAGCAAAGGCAAAGAUUGACCAGACCAAGCCCUGAGACACAGUGUUGAGAGCCAAGACAUAAAGUUGUGAAGAUUCAGACCCAGAGCCCAGCAGGGUACAGGCUGGAGGGGUGAUGUGAGUGAUCAGUAACACCAUGAAGACUCUGCUCCUGGGUCAGGAAUGCUUUUUUGUCCCUGUUUUGGAUUUUCCACCAUGAACAGCCAAUGCAGGAAGAAAUCU